Molecule: transfer RNA, 53 nt
Filed under: Platynereis sp. 1 PA-2020
Lineage: Eukaryota; Metazoa; Annelida; Polychaeta; Phyllodocida; Nereididae
Description: tRNA-Arg
Source: RNAcentral
GAAUGACAACCCCCGGUUUCGGCCCGGAUACAGGCAUGCUAUGUGCCCAUUCU